GGGGGCGAUAUGGUUUCGACGGGGAGCUGUGACGACAAGGGUAGCGAGCCGAGAUCCCGCCGACCUCGUAAAACGGUGGAACGCACGAUAAGUGCCAACAACGAUUACGCUUACGCUGCUUAAAUAAAGUAGCCGUCCAAUCCGGGCUCAUCCUGGGAGACCGGUGCGGGCGUCAAAUAAACCAGGACGCUCUCAGGUCCAAUUCUCGGAGGACUUGAGCUAAGACUAUCGAGAUAGCCCUGGAGGAACUGGCGUUGGAGAGCCUCCAAGGCGAAACCAAAACCCUACGCUAUGCUCGUAGAAGCUCUUCGAGUUGCCUCUUCGGACGCGGGUUCGAUUCCCGCCGCCUCCACCA
RNAcentral lists this transfer-messenger RNA (355 nucleotides) under bacterium. RNAcentral's name for it is "UBA4971 sp012518595 Standard tmRNA". It matches the Rfam family "transfer-messenger RNA". Rfam says of the family: Bacterial tmRNA, also known as 10Sa RNA or SsrA, is named for its dual tRNA and mRNA-like properties. Its role is to liberate the mRNA from a stalled ribosome. To accomplish this part of the tmRNA is used as a reading frame that ends in a translation stop signal. The record is from RNAcentral. RNAcentral also lists the same sequence under 1 other name.